UGCGAACAAGCGGAUAAAAAGCCUGGAGUGACAGCCCUAUUAGAGGCUAAUGGAGGCUGAGGCAGCUGAGACCCUGACACACACACACACACACAAAAAGAGAGACGACCACGCCCCGAGACCAACCAAGCGGCUCCCCCGAGCUUCACUGCCUGUCUUUGCCUUCAUCCCUCUUGUCCUCUAUCCCUGUAGUUAAAGAUUUUUAUGGGUGAGGGAGUGGCACAUGGAUGGGGAGAUUGGAUGGGCUCUCAUGCUAUCAGCCGUCCCAGGAGGUAAGAAAAGGUCAAGGACUCUCAUUUUUCAUCUCAGACAAUUACCCUCCCAUUUCAGCCUGUCUCUCCAUCUCAGCCUCUUAGCCUGCUGCUCUCCACCCGCUCCUCUAAUCGCACUCGCUCUCCCCCACACACAGACACACCCACAAUGCCCUUCGAAUGAUCAUCGGCAUCAGGAUGAUAUCAUUCCUGAGAGUCGGCAGACGGCAGCACUGGUCCUCGGCUGUGUUUCCGUCCCAGGAAGAUGCCUAAAUAUGUGGGACUAUGAGGUCAGAGGACAACAGGCUCUAAGUGGCCAGCGGCUCUUUAACCGGCUGGUUCACAAAUGAAUCUGGAACAGUGAGAAGAAGACAGAAGCCUGCAGAGGAGGUGGAGACAGUAACAAGGCAGUGAACAUCAGAGCGAGCGUUUCUGUCGUGAGACGGAAGACGACAUGGGAGUGAGCUUUUUAGUCACGACUAGGACCACUGAAAACACACACACACUCACACACGCACACACACGCGCACACACACUCCAUAAGCAUUUUCAAACCUUCAUUUCUCGGGGCUCAGAAGUUCUGGCACAUAACUACAGCAUAAUUCAUGUAAAAAGCAAAAAUGGAUGAAUGUGGAUGUAGACUGAGUCACGUGGAUGAAAUCUGUUGAAAACAGGAAGUGACACAUGUCUGUGAUGUACAACCCGGCUGCGACAAAGUAACAAAAAAAUCAAAAUAAUCUUUAUUGCAUAUGAAUAGCAGAGGUAAGAUGAAGCUGUUUUAAAGCUCCAGUAGGACUUAUCUGUCAGCUGAGGAGUAAAAAACAAACAAAGAAGAAACAACAUGUAAACAUGUAUUGAAAUAUUGAACUCUCUCAUAAAUGCAGCCAUAAAAAU
This is a long non-coding RNA of Solea senegalensis (Senegalese sole), 1145 nucleotides long. RefSeq lists it as uncharacterized. The record is from RefSeq and is a predicted model, not a curated record. NCBI's taxonomy places the organism in Eukaryota, Metazoa, Chordata, Actinopteri, Pleuronectiformes, Soleidae. The transcript is spliced from 4 exons.